CCUACGGGUGGCAGCAGUCGAGAAUCAUUCACAAUGGGGGAAACCCUGAUGGUGCGACGCCGCGUGGGGGAAUGAAGGUCUUCGGAUUGCAAACCCCUGUCAUGUGGGAGCAAAUUAAAAAGAUAGUACCACAAGAGGAAGAGACGGCUAACUCUGUGCCAGCAGCCGCGGGAAUACAGAGGUCUCAAGCGUUGUUCGGAAUCACUGGGCGUAAAGCGUGCGUAGGCUGUUUCGUAAGUCGUGUGUGAAAGGCGCGGGCUCAACCCGCGGACGGCACAUGAUACUGCGAGACUAGAGUAAUGGAGGGGGAACCGGAAUUCUCGGUGUAGCAGUGAAAUGCGUAGAUAUCGAGAGGAACACUCGUGGCGAAGGCGGGUUCCUGGACAUUAACUGACGCUGAGGCACGAAGGCCAGGGGAGCGAAAGGGAUUAGAUACCCCAGUAGUC
This 446-nucleotide ribosomal RNA is filed under the name uncultured bacterium. RNAcentral describes it as "partial 16S ribosomal RNA". It matches the Rfam family "Bacterial small subunit ribosomal RNA", at positions 338 to 795 of the family's 1533-position model. The record is from RNAcentral.